This 274-nucleotide ribosomal RNA is filed under the name uncultured bacterium. RNAcentral describes it as "partial 16S ribosomal RNA". It matches the Rfam family "Bacterial small subunit ribosomal RNA", at positions 523 to 796 of the family's 1533-position model. The record is from RNAcentral.
CUACGGGGGAUGCAAGCGUUAUUCGGAAUCACUGGGCGUAAAGGACGCGUAGGCGGGUUGGCAAGUCAGAUGUGAAAUCCUACAGCUUAACUGUAGAACUGCAUUUGAAACUGCUAACCUAGAGUAUGGGAGGGGGAGAUGGAAUUAGUGGUGUAGGGGUAAAAUCCGUAGAUAUCACUAGGAAUACCGAAAGCGAAGGCGAUCUCCUGGAACAUAACUGACGCUAAGGCGUGAAAGCGUGGGGAGCAAACAGGAUUAGAAACCCUAGUAGUCC